AAACAUCCCUGCAAAAUUUUUUGUCUUUUAAAAUAGUCCUUGGAUCCACUUUAUUGCUGAUUUGGCACAUUUUAGUCUACAUAGCAGUUGCUGACCAUGCAAUCAUGCACACGUGGCAAUUCACUUAUUUAAAAAUCAUUUUUAAAAAUUAGAUAAUAUAUUUUUGAAUUGAAAAAAAAUAUUUUUACUUGAUUAAAAAAUAAAUAAAACUGCAGAAAAGGGGGAAAAUAAAUUGUUCAUCUUCUUAACGUGUUCUUCAUCCCUCCUAACCCCAAACCUUGUUCUUCUUCCCAUAACCAAACCACCAUCAUCUUCUUCCUGUAACAACAAAAAUUAAAAAACUAGGAAGAAUAAUCAAAAUAUUCAUCUUCAACAAUCCAAAAUUCAUCAUUCUUUCAUUCAUUAAACCUAUAUUUCUCUCAAAUUUAAAUCCAAUUCAUCUUCUUACAAAUUCAAACCUAUAACAAAAUCAGAAGCAGCAAGGGAAAGGGAAAAACAGAAUUGCAAACUAGCAAGUUGAUACAACAAAAUGAAGUCGCUGCAUAUUGUAACAAGCGCAGCAGCAAGGGACUAUGUAGGAAAAAAAUACAGCAAAAUGGAAGAAAUCAGCGCUGUAACAACAUAAAUCCCCACAUUACAAAAACUUUCAUCAACAGCUGAAGGGCCGAACAACACAAACCCCAUAGCAGAUUCAAAAACAACGUCACAAACCCAGUUAUCAAGUCAUCGCCAUCGACCUCGUCGCGCUACGAUGUGCACCACCGUCAUCACCGCCGGCGUCCCGUUCACCAACCACCAAAUCUGCCAUCGCCGGCAACAGCCACAACGUGGCUGUUCUCACGUGACUCUCUUCCAUCACCAUGCCAUCACCGUCAUUCACCGCCGUGUUGAUGAAGAAGAAGAAAAACAGAAU
This 913-nucleotide long non-coding RNA is filed under the name Medicago truncatula (barrel medic). Its description in RNAcentral is "long non-coding RNA (MTRU_LNC002427)". Lineage: Eukaryota; Viridiplantae; Streptophyta; Magnoliopsida; Fabales; Fabaceae. The record is from RNAcentral.